UAUCUGACGAUCCAGGCUGCCCUCGAUCGUCUCGCUACGAGGACGAGAACCAUGCCCCAGCCGCCAUAGUGGAGCCCUACGCCGCCGCCGAGAUCGGAGAGGAGCCGCCGCCGCCGAGGUUCGAGAGGAGCUGGCCACCACGACCUCCCUCCCCAGGCGGCCGCCACCACCCCCUCCCCAAGCAGCCAUGUACAGCAGGGCGGCGCCCACGCGCCUGGCCUAUGUAGGUCUCGGCCUUCCUCCUCCCUUCGUCCAAGGCCAGGAGCUCCCCCUCCCCGACCCGAUCUGGUGGAGAGAGGGCCAGGCCUUGCCACUCCGGUGGUCGCUGUGGCCAGAUCUGUCCGGGGUAGUCGCCGUAGAGCCUCUAUGGCGGCGGAGUAGCAGCAGCCCGACAGAAGGUGGGUGCCAGAUCGUCGUCCAGCAGCUCGCCGUCGGAGCUUCUCACUACAGGCGAUGGAGGCCGGUGCUACUCGGUCUAUCUAUGAUGUAGGGAUGAUGCUGCGGAUGGGAUGGGAAGAUGUGUGUGUGUGCUAGCUGCUUCACAUACGACUCAGAGAAAGAAUUGCUUUGCAGUUUCAGGUUGCCAACAUCACGAAUUUCAUACUUAUGGAGUGGAGCCACCAAACAAUUUAUGAGAUUUCCGCCAUGGACGCCGCCUCGCUCAUGGGCUCCUCCUCCGCCGACGCGCGCACCGACGGGGAGCACCGGAUGGGCAUCACCAUCAUGGGCGUCUGCUACGACGGCGGCGUCCUCGCCGCUGACACUCAGGACCAGCACCGGUACCCCCCCCUCGCGGAUCCAACAACAGCGGCUAGGUCGGGGUCGGAGAUGGCGCAUCGGCCAUCCGAUUCCGCCGGUCGUAGAUCAAACAGAGGGCAUGAUAAAGUCCAGCAGAAGUGGUGGCCGGGAUUUUUACUGUUAAUUCGAUCUGCAAAACAGUGAUCAAUAUAGUAUAUGUGCAGUAAAAUAGACAUGUUGCUGAUAGUGUUGUAGUAGUGUGUGAUUUGGUUGCAUAGUUUUCUAAUGGAAACAAGUGAAAAACUCUUUGAUUUUCUGAUUUCUUUAUGCUUGCAGAGAGGUUCCACGACUUCAGUUUGGCUAUCAUCAAAAUUGGAGGAGAGCCCGAUGCAUUGGAGAGCAUCAUCCGGGAGUUCCACAGGAUCGAAUUGAGGAGGCAUUAUAACCUGGCAUCAUUUGGAUGACUUUGUCAGUAGGAAGAAUGGCUAACAUGCCUGUUAAAGCUAGAUAAACGCGUAUUGAAGGAACUGGGGUAUGUCCGCCAUGUUGAACACCCUCACAAUGACGGGUACCAUACAAUGUUAGCGAGGACAGUGAUUGGGGGAUUGAUAUUUUCGAAGUAAAGAGGUGCUUGGAGGAGGCACGCGUCGCAGGUUUGACUGUUUGGGCUAUGGUGAUCAUAAACCCCGGAUAACCGACGGAACAGGUACUUUCUGUGACCAACCAGGAGGAGAUAGUAGAAUUUUGUCGAAAAGAAGGUUUGGUUAUGCUUGCCGAUGAAGUUUGCACUUGGUGAACUGCGGUAGUUUUGUGACGCGGACGCGUGUGUAGACAUCCUACAUUUGUAUAAAUGCGUUUACAGGUAUACCAAGACAAGCUCUAUAUGGAGGACAUGAAGUUCAAUUCUUUCAGGAAAGUUGCCAGAUCACUUGGGUAUGAUGAGAAUGGUAUAUCCAUAGUGUCAUUUCAUUGGGGGGGUACUCUGGAGUAUGUGGCAGAAGGGGAAGCUACAUGUUGAUAUGUAAAAUUCCCUUCACGACUCGUUUAGGAAUAACAGAGUUUUGGAGAUGAUGUGAUGGGUGAGAUUCGCAAGGUGGCUUCUGUGACUCUUUGCCCCAACAUAAAUGGUGACUUGCGAUGGAUCCACCGAAGUAUAGAUCUGCGAUUGACAUUUUUAUUGGACCACUGGGUGAGCAUUUGCAACAAAGAGCCAGGGAGUAAGCUGGGAGCGGACAAACAUAAUGCCCUGAACAUGAGUUUGUCCUUGCAUAAUUAUCCAUGUCUGAUGGUACUACACCGCUUUAGUUUGUCCUUGUAUUAUCUCUUAUUGAUAAAAAAUGUCCAGAACAAAGAAAUGAUGAAUUGUAGUAUAGCCAUUUUUGUAGUUGAAAAUUAUGUCUAAAAUUGAUCAUCACAUAGUAUGCUGGCAACUUGCAGGGUCGAUGAGACAUUGAUUGCCAUAUUGCUUUUCCAUCUUAUUCACAUCUUAUGAAUAUAUCUUUAACAAUAUAAUUUAAUAUUUGUGUUUUCACAGGUAGGAAGAGACAGGAUUAGAUCGCUCACCAGU
Molecule: RNA transcript, 2305 nt
Organism: Triticum aestivum (bread wheat)
Lineage: Eukaryota; Viridiplantae; Streptophyta; Magnoliopsida; Poales; Poaceae
Exons: 9
Source: RefSeq, a predicted model, not a curated record